UACGAAGGACCCGAGCGUUAUCCGGAUUCAUUGGGUUUAAAGGGUGCGUAGGCGGGCCCAUAAGUCAGUGGUGAAAGCCCUUCGCUUAACGAAGGAAUUGCCAUUGAUACUGUGGGUCUUGAGUAUAGUUGAGGUGGGCGGAAUGUGUCAUGUAGCGGUGAAAUGCUUAGAUAUGACACAGAACACCGAUUGCGAAGGCAGCUCGCUAAACUAUAACUGACGCUGAGGCACGAAAGCGUGGGGAGCGAACAGG
Molecule: ribosomal RNA, 253 nt
Filed under: uncultured bacterium
Lineage: Bacteria
Description: partial 16S ribosomal RNA
Rfam family: Bacterial small subunit ribosomal RNA
Source: RNAcentral